This is a long non-coding RNA of Megalopta genalis, 1527 nucleotides long. RefSeq lists it as uncharacterized. NCBI's taxonomy places the organism in Eukaryota, Metazoa, Arthropoda, Insecta, Hymenoptera, Halictidae. The record is from RefSeq and is a predicted model, not a curated record.
AGGAUAUCUGGUCCGUUGACGUCAACAAAUUAAAUGAACUGUUGCAUCGUGUUUCAUUGAAAGAGAGUAUAGCAAAAUCCUUGGAACAGUGAGCAAAAUGACGUCCGCGUUUCCUGUUUACAAACGGCUAUCUGAAACGGACGAUAUCCCGAGUCCAGCGAAUCCAUUAACAAGCAUUCAAACGUAAUAUUGAUAUUCCCGACGGGUGGAGCGGUUUCGUGACGUUUGUUAUUUUUGUUUCCUUGGCUUCGAUCCAGGAAGCACGAGGUGCGUCAACGUUUACGAUUUUACCGGUUGGAGUUCGCGAUAGAUAAGAGACACCGGCUACGUGUUCCGCUAUCACUUGGAAUGUCGGUCACGUCGGAUUAAAUGGAAGGCUGUGUAUCAUCAUCGAUCGAUGCCUCGUGGCCCUGAGCUAAUCGAAUCCACGAACCGAUGCGACGCGACAAUAAGAAUCGAAGCUGAAGGGAGCAUCGAUCUCGAGCAGGAAGAGCCUCGAGAACGUCGAACACCGCGCCAGAGUCCUCUACGCUAGCUCUCUCGAUGAAUACUGAUCGAAAGUAGCGCGAAUUUCAUUGAGAAACUGGCAGAGAGAAUCGUCCAAAAGCGUAGAACAAAGCUCGUCGAAAUCGUUGCAACCGCCAUCGGAAUGACAUCGUUUCGAAAGCGACUUCAGCAUCCUUCCGUUCAAGCUGCAUAAGAAGCUGCCACAAUCAGCUGAUUGUUCCCGAAACGGAUCGCCUUCCUAAUCUGUCGAAGCAAGUCUCUCGUCGGAGACUCAUCACCGACAACAAUGCUCUCGGCCGGCUCAACUUCUAUGAAAAUGAAUCCGCAGAAAAUCCUCGCAGCAUUCACAAACGACCUUCGAGCCGGGCCAAGGGGAGGAAAACAAAGAAAUCGAGGAAAGAAGCAAAUGAAAAAAUCGAGACAAAGCGAGUGGACCAUCGCCCACACGCGACUUGUCACCGGUCGUGGCGGAAUUCCAACGUGUCCAUGUGUAAACAGCCCAAACGACGAGGGAUCGACCUGUCGAUUGUGCCCCGAGAUCUCUGCGAUUCGGAACAGAUAGAUGAUCGCAAUUAGCGAGGACCAGUUGUUCGACGGUGUUUCGAUGAUAUUGAUUUUCUCUCGCGUCCGCCAUUCAGCUGUCCGAUAAGACGCUGAUGGCCGUAGCAAGUGAUAGAGUUUUGUAUUCGAAAAUGAAAGAAUACAGGCAAUAAUGUAUGGUAAAAAAUUCCAAUGGUAGUUGGUGAGAUAGAAUCGAAUAUUAAUACGUGCUAUGAGAUGAGAUUUUUGAAAUUUUUAUACUUUCAUGUAACGACAAAAAUCGAAGUGGCAAUUCCAGGCGAGACAGCCUGUAUUAACAGCGAUUCACACCUUUAUUGUUACACUUGUUCGUCUAAAUUCUAACGAAUCUUUUAAAUCUCACGUCGAAAUCAAUGUAAAUUCGUCAGGAAGGAAUGUUGAGACGAUGGGAAACAAAAAUGUCUUUGAAAACAUUUAAAUGGUUAUACUGUUAUGAAAAAA